This is a non-coding RNA of Paramuricea clavata, 2444 nucleotides long. NCBI's taxonomy places the organism in Eukaryota, Metazoa, Cnidaria, Anthozoa, Malacalcyonacea, Plexauridae. The record is from the annotation of a GenBank genome assembly.
GUUUCUGUUCGACCUGAUGGUGUGUGGCAAGGGGAAUGGUAAUGACUCCAUCCUCUCCUUCAUUCUGCACUCUCCCGCGCCACUCUACGCGGCGGUAAAACUCUCGCAUCAUUACAGAGCUGAGUCGAGUAAGUUCAAAGAACGAAGCAAAGACCUGAUAGCGGCUGGUGACGCCUGUGAGGAACUGGCACUAGAUAUCUUGACUUUGGCUUGUACCAAUGAUGCGAGCCUGCUGUUGAACGCCACAGACGACAGCGGUAAACCGUUUCUUGACGUUCUCGUGGAAUGUGAGCAGAAACAGUGUGUCGCGCAUACCGCUGUGCAGUCGUACUUGGGGAGCAAGUGGCGUGCUGGACGGAAUUGGAGCAUCUCAAAAGUACUGGCAAUUUUUUUCGUCGCCUUUGUUUUACCACCUGUGUGGGUGGCAUUGUCUCUGCCCUGGAAUAACAACUACAGCCGAGUACCAUUGGUGAAAUUCAUAUGUCAGCUCAUAUCCCAUUUAUACUUCAUGUUACUCUUCGUAUUUAUGCUCGUGAUACCAUGGGGUAAAUCAAGCGAUGACCUCAUACCUGCAUGGUAUGAAAUAUUGUUGUUAUUCUGGCUGUGUGGCCUGGUGCUCACACAACUUACUGACCCGAAGAACAGCAGAGGCCUGGGCCGAGUACCACUGUUCGUUAUCAGUCUUUCAGCAAUUGCGAUUCUGAUCCAUCUCUUUGCGAUACCUUUCGAGAGCGUCACGCGCGUCAACCUUCUUUACGCGCGCAACCAACUUUUUGCGAUCGCCAUGUUUUUGACGUUUGUCCAGUUAUUGGAUUUCUUAACAUUUCAUCAUUUGUUUGGCCCGUGGGGAGUCAUCAUCGGAAAUUUAAUGCAAGACUUAGCUCGCUUUGUUGUGAUCCUGCUCAUAUUCAUACUUGGCUUUACUGUACACAUCGCUGCCGUCACGAAACCUAACAUGGCUAAUCUACACCAAGUACAACACAAUUUGGUCGAAAUAUUUCGCUUGUUGUUUUUCUCGCUGUUUGGCUCAGCAGACGGAAACAUUUUAGACGAACUCACUCAUGAUCGUAACCAUAUCCCAGCAUUCUCUAAGGUCUUGGUACAAAUUGUUUUGGGGCUAUAUUCAUUAAUUACAAUCGUGGUCCUAAUCAACCUUCUCAUUGCUAUGAUGAGCGAUACUUAUCAAAGAAUUCAAGCACAGUCUGAUCUGGAAUGGAAAUUUGGCCGCGCAAAAUUGAUAAGGAAACUGGAACGAUCAACCCGCACGCCUGCGCCUCUAAACUUGUUGACAACAACAGUGAUGUAUCUAAAGCUUGCCCGCAAGGUAAAGUGCAGGUGUUGCAGGCCUGAUAUUAUGGAAAUUUUACAUGAAGAAACAAGCGACCAAGUACCAAUGACGAAAUUCGUCAGUACAAAUAGUGUGGGUCCAGACCUCUCCAGUGGCGUCAUCACUUCAGGUAACCAAGGAAACCAGAGAAUCGAGAACGUGGUGAACUGGGAACGAAUCGUGCGCAAGUUUAAAGCUUUGCGUGGAAUGGAGGAUAAGGAGGAAAUGACGGUACAAGAGAUGAUCUCUGUGGAUAAUGAAGCACUCAGUGAGAAAAGUGUGCAUGAUAUCAAGGAGUUAGUUGAGGGAUUGUUGAAAAAGAUGAACACAACCUCAUCAACCUAGACCAUAGACAAUCGAGAGACCGAGAUGGUUUCGCGCAUUCCUGUCUUUAAUAGGGUCUGUUGCAGCGCGCAGUCCACCGGCUGCUUUGACAAAUAUAUCAUCAAUGCUCCGUAGUUUCCGCAAUUCCGCGAUCUGAAGUUGUGCUGAUUAGGCAAGGAGAAUAAACAUAGAAUAUGAAUAGAUGCAGUGUUGUAUACACUGCGCAAAUCAUGGUAGAUUUGCCAAAUAUAGAACAACUAGAUCCAGGGACGCCGGAACCAUCAUAAGGCAAAGGGGGGCGGACCCACAGCAAGGGCACUUCUCAUUUUUCCGGAAAAAUUAUUUUUGGCGACCUCCCCCCGUCGCCAAAAAAAUUUCGGUCAGUGUACCAUUUUAGGGGUCCAAAAUUUUUUCCGGACAUACCGUUAGUGAAAUAUAAAAUGUUAAUGUCUGAAUCUCAUAAUUUUCUGACAAAAACCAUCGUUCUAAAUGUGAUUUAUCACGUAAUUUUUUAAAACUAAAAGGGCACUUCUGCCCCCCCUGCCCCCCCUGGCAAAAGGCAGGGGGGGCAGCCGCCCCCCCUGCCCCCCCAGUUCCGGCGUCCCUGACUAGAUCUUCGGUAUAAUCCUUUUAAAUGUAGCAGAUCGUUACAUGCAGGGUUAUCUGUAUUAAGCGACUGUCCUCACUUAUACAUGUUACGCAUUACUAAUUACUUCCUGAGUAAUUUCUCGGUUUAUUGAAAUAACGAGCAAGUGAGCAACAUUGUGAAAAAAGUAUUAAAUUUGCGUUUAUA